CCACACACUCACCUGGGCAGGGAGCAGGAGAGGAGCCCCAGCCUGCUGCAUUCAGCCGGGCUGCUCUACAGGACGGCGCAGGGCAGCCUCGGCUCUCCGGUCACUCCAACACCGCGGGCGCGGCUCUCAUGCAGUUACAGAUGAAGUGAUAUUUCCCUAAGACACCGCCGCUUUUGGAGCGAUGGGUUUCACAUCGUGGAUCUGGUACUGCCAUAGGAAAGCCCUAGGUAACUGAGGUGGCAGAGGCCACGCAAGACUCGCCUGGUGCAGGGAAGGUCUCAGUCCCCUUCGAGGGAGGAAGGAAGAAAGAAGAAAGAAAUCGGUGGCCUCCGUUUGCAAACACCAGCAGUACAAAUGUGUCAACUUCACAAAAUAUGAUUAGUAGUGUUGUCACAUUAAAAGACUGAAUGAGGGUGAGGUGUCCAGAAAUCUAGGAAUGGGGACAAGCGUAGGAGCGGUGUGCCAAGCUGAUCUGAGCCUUGGUGGGCGCCCUCCCUUGGGCGGAGUCCUCGUGGGGGUCCUCCCCUGGGCGGAGUCCUGGUGGGCGCCCUCCCCUAUGUGCUACCUGGAGAAGGGAAGGGGCAGCCAGGGCGCGUGCUGGUGUCGCUGUGCAGCGCAGAGAGGAGGUGGGUGGAGACAGAACCCUCCAGAGGGAGGCAGACGUCAGGGGACGCCUCAGGAUGUCAUCAGUGAGUCUGCAGGCUGUGUCCACUGGACACGUGGGCUAGCUCAGGGGAGGCAGUGAGCCCCCAGUCGGGUCACUAGGAAUACAGGGUUCCCAGUUUACGGACCAGAAGGAUAAAAUCUCUUCGCGAGUGGCGGUGACAUUUUGGUACCUCUUGCUGGCAGCCGCGCCACUCUGGCUGAUUUGCCCCAGGCGCUGUGGGAUGCGCCCUGCUGGCUUCUGCCCGCGGUGGCUCAGCUUUGGGGCCGCCGGGUGUUUCCUUCCCCUCAAGCAUGGAUUUGCCCUGCUGCAGGACAAUUCGCCUACUGGUGCCUCCCGGAAAUGUAUCAGUGGAAAGGAGCUCAGAGCAAGGUCUGCGGGCCAGGGUUUCCUUGUCUCCCUACCGGUCACAGCUGCCUGUGAGGAAGGUGGCUGCUGCCACCGCGGGGAGGGACAGCACAUUAGUCAUUGGCCUCACCUCUGGCGGCAGCCCAGCCAAGAGCAAGAGCUGUGCAUCAGCGGGGCCUCCUGGGAUCCAGAGAAGCAGCAGGGGGCGCUGGAGACCUGGUGCUUGAGGCUGAGGGUGGUACCAGGGCUACCUGGGAGGGCGCCCAGCUGCUGCUGGAACGGGGAUAUGCCAGUCACCAACACUGAGGCCACUGCUCAGGGUGCAGGGGAGUCUGGAGAUGCCCCAGGGGAUGCAGAGAGGGCGGCUGCUGAACCUCAUGGGUGCAGAGAGGGAACCUUCAGGCCUUGACCAGCGCGGCAAAACUAGCUGGUUCCGGCAAGGGGUCAGGGGAGAUUGGAAGAAAAAAGAUUCAAAGACGCAAAUCUUGAGGAUUAACCUGGAGUUGGGUGGAGCGCUGCUCUCUGAUGAAGAAGCAGGUCUGCAGAAUUACACCAACAAUCUUUAUUAUAUAUGUCUCAUUAAUAAGAUUAAAGACUAUGCCAACAUUAUUUUAUUAA
Molecule: long non-coding RNA, 1630 nt
Organism: Marmota monax (woodchuck)
Lineage: Eukaryota; Metazoa; Chordata; Mammalia; Rodentia; Sciuridae
Exons: 2
Source: RefSeq, a predicted model, not a curated record